Long non-coding RNA from Rosa rugosa (rugosa rose), 317 nucleotides. RefSeq lists it as uncharacterized. The record is from RefSeq and is a predicted model, not a curated record. The transcript has 2 exons. Lineage: Eukaryota; Viridiplantae; Streptophyta; Magnoliopsida; Rosales; Rosaceae.
GACGGUCUCCCUUGGGUGAGCGAUUUCGGUGUGUAUUGUGUUGAAUUGAAGACGCAGCGGGAAUAUCGAGCGGGUAAUCCUACAGGUCAGGAGAAUCAGGACGGUGAUCGUGCGGGUUAGAGAAUUUGUUUUAGUUUUACAGCAAUUGUAAUUGUGAGGUGAGUUAUGCUCAUUUGAGCCUUACAAUAUAAUUUGGUGAGAGUGUGCUGUAAUAAACAAAUUUGAGAUUUGGUUUAUGUAAUAUCGAGCGAUGUGAGGUGUGGUUGUUUUGAGAAAAAAAAUUCAGGUUGUAAUUAUGUGAGUUGUAUUAAUUCAUG